CAGAGCGUAGCUAAGAAAGCAAAGCCCCUCACUUACACUGAGAUGAUACCCGUGCAACUCGAGUCGCCCUGA
RNAcentral lists this transfer RNA (72 nucleotides) under Isichthys henryi. Its description in RNAcentral is "tRNA-Val". It matches the Rfam family "tRNA". From Rfam's summary of the family: Transfer RNA (tRNA) molecules are approximately 80 nucleotides in length. Their secondary structure includes four short double-helical elements and three loops (D, anti-codon, and T loops). Lineage: Eukaryota; Metazoa; Chordata; Actinopteri; Osteoglossiformes; Mormyridae. The record is from RNAcentral.